This 447-nucleotide ribosomal RNA is filed under the name uncultured bacterium. Its description in RNAcentral is "bacterial SSU rRNA". It matches the Rfam family "Bacterial small subunit ribosomal RNA", at positions 355 to 825 of the family's 1533-position model. The record is from RNAcentral.
UCGGGAAUUUUGGGCAAUGGGCGAAAGCCUGACCCAGCAACGCCGCGUGAAGGAUGAAGUAUUUCGGUAUGUAAACUUCGAAAGAAUAGGAAGAAUAAAUGACGGUACUAUUUAUAAGGUCCGGCUAACUACGUGCCAGCAGCCGCGGUAAUACGUAGGGACCAAGCGUUGUUCGGAUUUACUGGGCGUAAAGGGCGCGUAGGCGGCAAUUCAAGUCAUCUGUGAAAUCUCCGGGCUUAACUCGGAACGGUCAGAUGAUACUGCUUUGCUAGAGUGCAGAAGGGGCAAUCGGAAUUCUUGGUGUAGCGGUGAAAUGCGUAGAUAUCAAGAGGAACACCUGAGGUGAAGACGGGUUGCUAGGCUGAUACUGACGCUGAGGCGCGAAAGCUAGGGUAGCAAACGGGAUUAGAUACCCCCGUAGUCCCUGAGCGGGCUGGCAAGGCGCAU